Molecule: ribosomal RNA, 292 nt
Filed under: uncultured bacterium
Lineage: Bacteria
Description: partial 16S ribosomal RNA
Rfam family: Bacterial small subunit ribosomal RNA
Source: RNAcentral
GUGCCAGCAGCCGCGGUAAUACAGAGGUGCCGAGCGUUAGGCGGAAUCACUGGGCUUAAAGCGUGCGUAGGCGGGCGUCUAAGUGUCUUGUGAAAUCCCGCGGCUCAACCGCGGAACUGUUGGGCAUACUGGACGCCUUGAGGCACACAGGGGCGAGCGGAACAAGUGGUGGAGCGGUGAAAUGCGUAGAUAUCACUUGGAACGCCGACGGUGAAAACAGCUCGCUGGGUGUGUUCUGACGCUGAGGCACGAAAGCCAGGGGAGCGAACGGGAUUAGAAACCCGUGUAGUCC